RNAcentral lists this ribosomal RNA (1930 nucleotides) under human gut metagenome. Its description in RNAcentral is "bacterial LSU rRNA". It matches the Rfam family "Bacterial large subunit ribosomal RNA", at positions 723 to 2637 of the family's 2925-position model. The record is from RNAcentral.
CAGUGAUCUAUCCAUGGUCAGGUUGAAGCGCAGGUAAAAAUGCGUGGAGGACCGAACCCGUGAGUGUUGAAAAACUUUGGGAUGAACCGUGGAUAGGGGUGAAAUGCCAAUCGAACGCGGAGAUAGCUGGUACUCCCCGAAAUAGCUUUAGGGCUAGCCUCAGGGAAGAUUAUAGACGGUAGAGCACUGAUCUGGCAAGGGGGCGUAAAGCCUACCGACCCUAGUCAAACUUCGAAUGGCUAUAAUUAAGACCCUGGGAGUCAGACUGCGAGUGAUAAGACCCGUAGUCAAGAGGGAAACAGCCCAGACCGCCGACUAAGGUCCCCAAUGCUGUACUAAGUGGAAAAGGAUGUAAGACUUCAUAAACAACCAGGAUGUUGGCUUAGAAGCAGCCACCAUUAAAAGAGUGCGUAAUAGCUCACUGGUCGAGAGGCCUUGCGCCGAAGAUGUCCGGGGCUCAAGUACAGAACCGAAGUCGCGGCAGGAUUAUAUAAUUCUGGGUAGGGGAGCGUUGUAUAUCCGACUGAAGGUGUACCGGAAGGAGCGCUGGAGGAUAUACAAGAGAGAAUGCCGGUAUGAGUAGCGAAAAGAACAGUGAGAAUCUGUUCCACCGAAAGCCUAAGGUUUCCUGAGCAACGCUCGUCGACUCAGGGUAAGUCGGGACCUAAGCCGAGGCAAAAAGCAUAGGCGAUGGACAACAGGUUAAUAUUCCUGUACCGCUUCAAAUCGUUUGAGCAAUGGAGUGACACAGAAGGUAGCUUGAGCACGCGAAUGGAUGUGCGUGUCGAAGGUGGUAGGUUGCAGUAUAGGUAAAUCCGUACUGUAUAAGACCGAGAACUGAUAGAUAGACGAUACUUCGGUAAAGUCAAAUUCAAGUGAGCCAUGCUGUCGAGAAAAGCUUCUAGUGAGAGAUGAGGCGCCCGUACCGAAACCGACACAGGUAGGCGGGGAGAGAAUCCUAAGGUGCGCGGGACAACCCUCGUUAAGGAACUCGGCAAAUUGUAUCCGUAACUUAGGGAUAAGGAUAGCCGGAGGAUGUGAAGGGAUUUACUUCUGGAGCGUCAGCCGGUGGCACAAGAGAGGCCCAAGCGACUGUUUAGCACAAACACAGGUGCCUGCAAAAGAGAAAUCUGACGUAUAGGUGCUGACACCUGCCCGGUGCUGGAAGGUUAAGAGGAGGGCUUAGAGGAAACUCGAAGGCUUGAAUUGAAGCCCCAGUAAACGGCGGCCGUAACUAUAACGGUCCUAAGGUAGCGAAAUUCCUUGUCGGGUAAGUUCCGACCCGCACGAAAGGUGUAACGACUUGGGCACUGUCUCAACGAGGGACCCGGUGAAAUUGAAGUACCUGUGAAGAUGCAGGUUACCCGCGACUGGACAGAAAGACCCCAUGGAGCUUUACUGCAACCUGACAUUGAUGUUCGGUAAAUAACGUACAGGAUAGGUGGGAGACGGAGAAGUAUUGGCGUUAGCUGAUAUGGAGUCAACCUUGGGAUACCACCCUUUAUUUAUUGGACCUCUAACUGAAGAAGUAACGACUCUCAGGACAGUAUCAGGCGGGCAGUUUGACUGGGGCGGUCGCCUCCCAAAAUGUAACGGAGGCGCCCAAAGGUUCCCUCAGCGCGAACGGAAACCGCGCAAAGAGUGUAAAGGCAGAAGGGAGCUUGACUGCGAGUCAGACACGACGAGCAGGUACGAAAGUAGGGCUUAGUGAUCCGGUGGUUCCGAGUGGAAGGGCCAUCGCUCAACGGAUAAAAGCUACCCUGGGGAUAACAGGCUAAUCUCUCCCAAGAGUCCAUAUCGACGGGGAGGUUUGGCACCUCGAUGUCGGCUCAUCACAUCCUGGGGCUGGAGCAGGUCCCAAGGGUUGGGCUGUUCGCCCAUUAAAGUGGUACGUGAGCUGGGUUCAGAACGUCGUGAGACAGUUCGGUCC